Molecule: ribosomal RNA, 465 nt
Filed under: Vreelandella stevensii
Lineage: Bacteria; Pseudomonadati; Pseudomonadota; Gammaproteobacteria; Oceanospirillales; Halomonadaceae
Description: partial 16S ribosomal RNA
Rfam family: Bacterial small subunit ribosomal RNA
Source: RNAcentral
CCUACGGGGGGCUGCAGUGGGGAAUAUUGGACAAUGGGGGCAACCCUGAUCCAGCCAUGCCGCGUGUGUGAAGAAGGCCCUCGGGUUGUAAAGCACUUUCAGUGAGGAAGAACGCCUGGUGGUUAAUACCCAUCAGGAAAGACAUCACUCACAGAAGAAGCACCGGCUAAAUCCGUGCCAGCAGCCGCGGUAAUACGGAGGGUGCGAGCGUUAAUCGGAAUUACUGGGCGUAAAGCGCGCGUAGGUGGCUUGAUAAGCCGGUUGUGAAAGCCCCGGGCUCAACCUGGGAACGGCAUCCGGAACUGUCAAGCUAGAGUGCAGGAGAGGAAGGUAGAAUUCCCGGUGUAGCGGUGAAAUGCGUAGAGAUCGGGAGGAAUACCAGUGGCGAAGGCGGCCUUCUGGACUGACACUGACACUGAGGUGCGAAAGCGUGGGUAGCAAACAGGAUUAGAUACCCUAGUAGUC